This 357-nucleotide long non-coding RNA is filed under the name Mus musculus (house mouse). RNAcentral's name for it is "long non-coding RNA chr2:150933532-150933889". Lineage: Eukaryota; Metazoa; Chordata; Mammalia; Rodentia; Muridae. The record is from RNAcentral.
AUGUCGGCGGGCAGCAGCUGCAGCCAGACUCCUAGCCGGGCCAUCUUCACUCGCCGCUUAGCCCUCAGCGAUGGCGUACAGCUCCCGCCCCGGGGACUACAGCACCACCCCAGGCUGCACGCUCUUCAGCACCACCCCAGCAGGAACCAGGAUCAUCUAUGACCGGAAAUUCCUGAUGGGAGUGUCGGAACUCACCUGUGGCCAAAACACCUCCCAAAGGACCUGCCAGCCAUUCCUGGGGUCACUAGCCCUACCAGCGAUGAGCCUCCCAAGCAAGCCAGUCAGAGCUACCUGCCCAGCAGCCCAGAAGAUAAGCCGGCAGGCGGUGAAGAGUCACAGUUUGAGAUGGGCAUUUAA